UCCCUGGUGGUCAGGUGGCUAAGACUCCACACUCCCAAUGCAGGGGACCUGGGUUUGAUUCCUGGUCAGGGAA
Ovis aries (sheep) is the source of this 73-nucleotide transfer RNA. It matches the Rfam family "tRNA". Rfam says of the family: Transfer RNA (tRNA) molecules are approximately 80 nucleotides in length. Their secondary structure includes four short double-helical elements and three loops (D, anti-codon, and T loops). The record is from Rfam. NCBI's taxonomy places the organism in Eukaryota, Metazoa, Chordata, Mammalia, Artiodactyla, Bovidae.